RNAcentral lists this ribosomal RNA (443 nucleotides) under uncultured bacterium. RNAcentral's name for it is "partial 16S ribosomal RNA". It matches the Rfam family "Bacterial small subunit ribosomal RNA", at positions 338 to 795 of the family's 1533-position model. The record is from RNAcentral.
CCUACGGGAGGCAGCAGUGGGGAAUAUUGGUCAAUGGGCGCAAGCCUGACCCAGCAACGCCGCGUGAAGGAAGAAGGCUCUCGGGUUGUAAACUUCUUUUAUCCGGGACGAAACAAAUGACGGUACCGAAUGAAUAAGCCACGGCUAACUACGUGCCAGCAGCCGCGGUAAUACGUAGGUGGCAAGCGUUAUCCGGAUUUACUGGGUGUAAAGGGCGCGUAGGCGGGGGAGCAAGUCAGACGUGAAAUGCGGGGGCGUAACCCUUGGACUGCUUUUGAAACUGUUUUGCUUGAGUGCUGGAGAGGCAGGCGGAAUUCCGUGUGUAGCGGUGAAAUGCGUAGAUAUACGGAGGAACACCAGUGGCGAAGGCGGCCUGCUGGACAUUAACUGACGCUGAGGCGCGAAAGCGUGGGGAGCAAACAGGAUUAGAUACCCUUGUAGUC